UGGCAGCUAGUAUAAUAUAAAACCCCUAAUUUCGACUUAGAAGCUCCUGGUCCAACAGGGCUGCCAU
This 67-nucleotide transfer RNA is filed under the name Cyrtodactylus chanhomeae. Its description in RNAcentral is "tRNA Arg". The record is from RNAcentral. Lineage: Eukaryota; Metazoa; Chordata; Lepidosauria; Squamata; Gekkonidae.